UGUUCUAACGUGGACCCGUGAUCCGGGUUGCGGACAGUGUCUGGUGGGUAGUUUGACUGGGGCGGUCUCCUCCUAAAGAGUAACGGAGGAGCACGAAGGUUGGCUAAUCCUGGUCGGACAUCAGGAGGUUAGUGCAAUGGCAUAAGCCAGCUUGACUGCGAGCGUGACGGCGCGAGCAGGUGCGAAAGCAGGUCAUAGUGAUCCGGUGGUUCUGAAUGGAAGGGCCAUCGCUCAACGGAUAAAAGGUACUCCGGGGAUAACAGGCUGAUACCGCCCAAGAGUUCAUAUCGACGGCGGUGUUUGGCACCUCGAUGUCGGCUCAUCACAUCCUGGGGCUGAAGUAGGUCCCAAGGGUAUGGCUGUUCGCCAUUUAAAGUGGUACGCGAGCUGGGUUUAGAACGUCGUGAGACAGUUCGGUCCCUAUCUGCCGUGGGCGCUGGAGAACUGAGGGGGGCUGCUCCUAGUACGAGAGGACCGGAGUGGACGCAUCACUGGUGUUCGGGUUGUCAUGCCAAUGGCACUGCCCGGUAGCUAAAUGCGGAAGAGAUAAGUGCUGAAAGCAUCUAAGCACGAAACUUGCCCCGAGAUGAGUUCUCCCUGAGACUUAGAGUCUCCUGAAGGAACGUUGAAGACGACGACGUUGAUAGGCCGGGUGUGUAAGCGCAGCGAUGCGUUGAGCUAACCGGUACUAAUGAACCGUGAGGCUUAACCUUACAACGCCGAAG
Molecule: ribosomal RNA, 725 nt
Filed under: Salmonella enterica subsp. enterica
Lineage: Bacteria; Pseudomonadati; Pseudomonadota; Gammaproteobacteria; Enterobacterales; Enterobacteriaceae
Also listed under: 1 other name
Description: partial 23S ribosomal RNA
Rfam family: Bacterial large subunit ribosomal RNA
Source: RNAcentral